UGGGAUGUAGCUCAGUGCUAAAGCACUUGCCUAGCACGUGCAAGACCCUGUGUUCCAUCCCCAGCACCCCGC
This 72-nucleotide transfer RNA is filed under the name Marmota monax (woodchuck). Its description in RNAcentral is "tRNA.Ala". The record is from RNAcentral. Lineage: Eukaryota; Metazoa; Chordata; Mammalia; Rodentia; Sciuridae.